CCGUAGGGUGCUCUCUUUCCUCUUAACUCCUGGUCUUAAAUCUUGCUCAUUCUUUUCGCUAAGACAGGUGUGAAGUCCGGGCUUAACCUGGGAAUGGCGCUUGUGACUGGCGGGCUGGAGUACGGCAGAGGGGGGUGGAAUUCCACGUGUAGCAGUGAAAUGCGUAGAGAUGUGGAGGAACACCGAUGGCGAAGGCAGCCCCCUGGGCCGAUACUGACGCUCAUGCACGAAAGCGUGGGGAGCAAACAG
RNAcentral lists this ribosomal RNA (249 nucleotides) under uncultured prokaryote. Its description in RNAcentral is "partial 16S ribosomal RNA". It matches the Rfam family "Bacterial small subunit ribosomal RNA", at positions 525 to 775 of the family's 1533-position model. The record is from RNAcentral.